This is a long non-coding RNA of Mustela lutreola (European mink), 1212 nucleotides long. RefSeq lists it as uncharacterized. The transcript has 2 exons. NCBI's taxonomy places the organism in Eukaryota, Metazoa, Chordata, Mammalia, Carnivora, Mustelidae. The record is from RefSeq and is a predicted model, not a curated record.
UGCAAGGAACCCAGACAGGCGAGGCAAGAUGUUAGUUCAUUCAUUCCUCCACGCCCCAGCGGCACAGGGAGCACGACCUGGGGGGGACACUAACGGGGGGUGGAGGACAGCCGGGCACGCAGGAGUCUGGACUGCAUCCCCAGCUGGAGCCUCGGCGCUGUCUUCUCAGAACUGCAUGACGCUGACCCCUCUGAACCUUCGUCCCUCGUCAGUGAAAGACACAAAUUAGCGCCGCUGCGAGAACCGAGCGGCCGACGGCCUGAGAAAAGAGCCGGCGAGGUUAUGGCGAAUCUGCGGCAUCCAACAUGGCGGAUGGAGUCUUCGCCCUCCUCUUCACGGGGCGCUGACGCCGGCGUAGCGGACGUCAGCCUCGGGUGACCCUCCCCCAGCGCCGAGAGCAUCUAGGCUGGGCGGCCUAGUGCGCAUGCUCCAGCCCGGAGGCCGCGCUCUACAUCCCGCUCCGCUGGUUCCACCGCUCCACUUUUUGAGCCACUCCGGGAAAGCGCUAACGAGAGGCCUGGAAUACGGAUCGCAGGAUUGGGAGUCUUCCCGUUUCGGCCGGGAGCCGGCAGAUCUACCCGCCUGCGCAUCCUUGGACUCCCCGGGCUAAAUGUGCAAGAAUUCUGGGUUCCUGUCCCAGUUCUGUUCUUUACUAACUAAUCUGGGGCAGCGAUUUAACUUUCUCUGGGCUCAGUUUACUGAUUUGUCAGUCGCGGUGGUGACAGCCUGCCUCCCUCCAUCUCGAGGGCUGCAGACUUUCCCCGAAGCGGGAUGCUCUCCAUCGAGUCUGGGUCGUUCAGCCAGAAUUCAGCAGCCUGGAGCCACCUGGAGAAAGGGGACGCCUUCCGUCCUGACUGUCCUGCAGAAAGUUCCAGCUGCGCCUGAGCCCGCCUCUCCAACGCCGGAGCUCAGCCUUCUGCAGGGAGCGUGUCUGCUUGAGAUGGGGUGACCUUGUUAGUUUUCGUUGUGAAGGGGAUCCUCUCUGCCACUUCCUUCAGAUCUCAGCUCUACUAACAUCUCCAAGGGGGCCCUCCCGCACCACCCCAUCCAGAGUAACCCUGCUAAGUCCCUUUUCUGUUGUUAUCUGCACAGUAUCUGUUAGCACCUGACAUGAAUUUAUCUCCCUCUCGUCUUGGUCACUCCUGUGGCCCCAGAAACUAGAAAUGAGCCUGACAGUUAUUUAUCGAAUAAAUUAGUUUCGUGGACUUUGAA